GGAUGUGAAGGCUAUCUGGCAGCGACAUCUGUCACCCCAUUGAUCGCCAGGGUUGAUUCGGCUGAUCUGGCUGGCUAGGCGGGUGUCCCCUUCCUCCCUCACCGCUCCAUGUGCGUCCCUCCCGAAGCUGCGCGCUCGGUCGAAGAGGACGACCAUCCCCGAUAGAGGAGGACCGUUCUUCGGUCAAGGGUGUACGAGUAGCUGCGCUCCCCUGCUAGAACCUCCAAACAAGCUCUCAAGAGACUUAUAAAGAAAAGGGUUUAUUUAAUUUAUAGUUUUGGAGGCUGCAUGACUCUGGCUCUUGUGCGGAUUCCC
Molecule: small nuclear RNA, 315 nt
Filed under: Castor canadensis (American beaver)
Lineage: Eukaryota; Metazoa; Chordata; Mammalia; Rodentia; Castoridae
Description: 7SK RNA (ENSCCNG00000025836.1)
Rfam family: 7SK RNA
About the family: 7SK was discovered as an abundant small nuclear RNA in the mid-70s but a possible function has only recently been suggested.
Source: Rfam by way of RNAcentral